CCGCUGAUUGGAUCACAAAGGGAAUCGUUGGAGACAAUCAUUGGCGGCGGUGGCUAUACUGCUGCUCCUCCUCCUGAAAUUGAGGAUUGCCCACCGCCUCCACCCCGUCCAGAACCCGUCUGUCCCCCACCACUGCAACCUCCACUACCCCCAUCACCUCCUCCUCCACGUCCACCCGAACCACCAAAGCUACCACCAAAUAUAUUAAGGGAUUAUGAUACAAUUCAGGAAUUCAGCAAGAAAAUUACUGUCGAUCCCGAGGGCAUAACAAGAUCAUGGAAAAGGGCGGACAAAAAUGUCUGUAGAUUUGCUGGAUUUCAAUGUGCUUACAGGCCUGACACUGGUGUGCUAUCUGUGGUGGCAGCAAACUUCAACGGUUGCAACUUUAGUGGCCCUAACUUUCAGUUAAAAGAUUUACUCGAUCAGUUGG
RNAcentral lists this unclassified non-coding RNA (430 nucleotides) under Hevea brasiliensis (rubber tree). Lineage: Eukaryota; Viridiplantae; Streptophyta; Magnoliopsida; Malpighiales; Euphorbiaceae. The record is from RNAcentral.